AGACGAUAUCUUAGCAGUCUGGGAGGAUGAGAAUAAAAUUGCUGACCUUGAAGGUGCCUUCGCACUGCCGGAGUGUGGGUUGAAGUUGAGUGGAGCGCAGAUGAGCCAAGAAGGUGUGGGUUUCCUCGACAUAGACAUCCAUCUGGGGAGAGCCGAGCUGUCAACAGCCGUAUGUGGGAGGCCGCAAUGCCAACCGAUAGUUGUGCCGAAUUGGUCACCGGACCCGGUAUCAUUUAAGAAAGCGGCCUUUGGAGCCUUCUUUGGGCGUGCUUGCAUAUAUUGUACAGAGCGGGGUGGCCUAGAGAAUGAGCUUGGGCACAUUUGCCAAAUUGGGAGGCGGC
Molecule: long non-coding RNA, 341 nt
Filed under: Androctonus crassicauda
Lineage: Eukaryota; Metazoa; Arthropoda; Arachnida; Scorpiones; Buthidae
Source: RNAcentral